CCGGGCCCAGGCGUCCGGGGCCAGGCGACAGCGAGGUGGGGGCGGGCGGCGGCAGGGCGCUCCGGGGCUGGGGUGCUCACGUGGCGCCGAAGGCCCCCGCAGGCCCCGGCGGCGCCCCCCAGCCGGGCGUCCCGCAGGGGCUGGGAGCUGCCCAAGGGGCCGUCGUCGUCGCCAGCCCGGUAGCCCGGAUGUCGCUGCCCCCCGCGGCGGGGCCGCCGACGCGUUUCUCGGCCCGGGAGGAGGCUCGUCUUAAAGGGACAGCGCCGCGUUCGAGCCAGAGGGGGCGGCGCGUCCUGCCCUCCGUGCGCGACCCCUGCCCCGGGGGACGCCGCGGCGCCCACCGCCCCAGGCCCCCUGCUCCGGACGGGGCGCAGUCGGAGCGCGGCGCCCUGCCCCGGGAUGGCCGCAGAGGGCCGCCCGGAGGCCAGGUUUUCCUCCGGCCCGAGCGUGGCCGGUGGCGCCGCGCGGGGCCGGAAGGCGCCGGCCUGUGAUUGGCCGAGGCCCCCGUGAAUGCAGGACAUUGUCUGGUCGCGGCCGUCUCUGUCUCUGCCCGCCGCCCUUCCACCGAGCAAGAUGGGUGCGCAGCGAGGUCCCGGGGCGGCCCGGUCCCUCCGGCCCGCAGUCCCUGCGGCGGUGGGAACCCGGAGUGGGAAAACCUAACUUUCACGAGAUCAUGGCAUCCGAGAAUGGAACCGAGGUGCUGUUUCAAAAUACAAAACCAUCUCCACUAGGAAAGAAAAUCAUUUGUGUUUGACAUAAAGGUUUCCUUUAAGAUAAAAAAAUGCUAAGGACCCCCAUAAUACCUACUGGCCGUGGUAGCUGCAUCUGAUCGGUGUCAGUCCCAGAGCAGGCGCUGGCGUCAUUCAGUUAGUGUCUGAAUGCGGACAAAUCAGCCAGUCCUUCACAAGACCGAGAAGGGAGGAGCAAUCAGGAAUGCAAGACAGGGACUUCCCUGGUGGCGCAGUGGUUGAGAAUCCACCUCCCAAUGCAGGGGACACGGGUUCAAUCCCCGGUCUGGGAAGAUCCCACAUGCCGCGGAGCAACUAAGCCGGUGAGCCACGACUACUGAAGCCCUCGAGCCUAGAGCCCGUGCUCCGCAACAAGAGAAGAGCCUAGAGCCCAUGCUCCGCAACAAGAGAAGCCACCGCAGUGAGAAGCCACCGCAGUGAGAAGCCUGCACACAGCAACAAAGACCCAACGCAGCCAAAAAUAAAAUAAAAUUUAAAAAAAAAAAAAAGGAUGCAAGACAGGAAUCUGGGGGGCUCAGGAGCAUAAAGCUGAGGCAAAGGGCUGUGCCUUUAAGACUUUUUUUUUUUGCCUUUUUGCCUUUUUUUCUUCAGUCUGUAUCUUCAGCUGAGAAGUGGCAACAUCCUUAAUGACAGCCAAGGGUACAGGGUCACCGUCCCUCACGUUUACCUUGCUCUGUCUAGGCACUGGUCCCAGAGUUAGUGGCCAUUAUAGUCUUCAUCUGUAGCUCUGCCCAAGACAGGGGGGAGGGCAGUCUGUCUCAGUCCCUGUCUUCGCUCGUUCCAAGUGCCUGUAUCAGGAGGUUAAGAAAUCAGAAAUAAAAUCAUUCUGAAGGGGA
Long non-coding RNA from Balaenoptera acutorostrata (minke whale), 1585 nucleotides. RefSeq lists it as uncharacterized. The transcript is spliced from 2 exons. The record is from RefSeq and is a predicted model, not a curated record. NCBI's taxonomy places the organism in Eukaryota, Metazoa, Chordata, Mammalia, Artiodactyla, Balaenopteridae.